AACUAGCCCUGAUUGCAGCGGCAUCCUUUUUUGCGUGGGAAGAAACGUGAAACUUCGGAAGGGGUCUGCCGCAAAAAAGAUACAGCGGAAAGCAGGUUUCCGG
This 103-nucleotide small RNA is filed under the name Chryseobacterium sp. Leaf394. RNAcentral's name for it is "Flavo-1 RNA". It matches the Rfam family "Flavo-1 RNA". Lineage: Bacteria; Pseudomonadati; Bacteroidota; Flavobacteriia; Flavobacteriales; Weeksellaceae. The record is from Rfam by way of RNAcentral.